ACAGGCUUAACACAUGCAAGUCGAGGGGCAGCACAGGUAGCAAUACCGGGUGGCGACCGGCGCACGGGUGAGUAACGCGUAUGCAACUUGCCUAUCAGAGGGGGAUAACCCGGCGAAAGUCGGACUAAUACCGCAUGAAGCAGGGGCCCCGCAUGGGGAUAUUUGCUAAAGAUUCAUCGCUGAUAGAUAGGCAUGCGUUCCAUUAGGCAGUUGGCGGGGUAACGGCCCACCAAACCGACGAUGGAUAGGGGUUCUGAGAGGAAGGUCCCCCACAUUGGUACUGAGACACGGACCAAACUCCUACGGGAGGCAGCAGUGAGGAAUAUUGGUCAAUGGCCGAGAGGCUGAACCAGCCAAGUCGCGUGAGGGAUGAAGGUUCUAUGGAUCGUAAACCUCUUUUAUAAGGGAAUAAAGUGCGGGACGUGUCCCGUUUUGUAUGUACCUUAUGAAUAAGGAUCGGCUAACUCCGUGCCAGCAGCCGCGGUAAUACGGAGGAUCCGAGCGUUAUCCGGAUUUAUUGGGUUUAAAGGGUGCGUAGGCGGCCUUUUAAGUCAGCGGUGAAAGCCUGUGGCUCAACCAUAGAAUUGCCGUUGAAACUGGGGGGCUUGAGUAUGUUUGAGGCAGGCGGAAUGCGUGGUGUAGCGGUGAAAUGCAUAGAUAUCACGCAGAACCCCGAUUGCGAAGGCAGCCUGCCAAGCCAUUACUGACGCUGAUGCACGAAAGCGUGGGGAUCAAACAGGAUUAGAUACCCUGGUAGUCCACGCAGUAAACGAUGAUCACUAGCUGUUUGCGAUACACUGUAAGCGGCACAGCGAAAGCGUUAAGUGAUCCACCUGGGGAGUACGCCGGCAACGGUGAAACUCAAAGGAAUUGACGGGGGCCCGCACAAGCGGAGGAACAUGUGGUUUAAUUCGAUGAUACGCGAGGAACCUUACCCGGGUUUGAACGCAUUCGGACCGAGGUGGAAACACCUUUUCUAGCAAUAGCCGUUUGCGAGGUGCUGCAUGGUUGUCGUCAGCUCGUGCCGUGAGGUGUCGGCUUAAGUGCCAUAACGAGCGCAACCCUUGCCACUAGUUACUAACAGGUUAGGCUGAGGACUCUGGUGGGACUGCCAGCGUAAGCUGCGAGGAAGGCGGGGAUGACGUCAAAUCAGCACGGCCCUUACAUCCGGGGCGACACACGUGUUACAAUGGCGUGGACAAAGGGAUGCCACCUGGCGACAGGGAGCGAAUCCCCAAACCACGUCUCAGUUCGGAUCGGAGUCUGCAACCCGACUCCGUGAAGCUGGAUUCGCUAGUAAUCGCGCAUCAGCCAUGGCGCGGUGAAUACGUUCCCGGGCCUUGUACACACCGCCCGUCAAGCCAUGGGAGCCGGGGGUACCUGAAGUCCGUAACCGAAAGGAUCGGCCUAGGGUAAAACUGGUGACUGGGGCUAAGUCAUAA
RNAcentral lists this ribosomal RNA (1442 nucleotides) under uncultured organism. RNAcentral describes it as "SSU rRNA". It matches the Rfam family "Bacterial small subunit ribosomal RNA". The record is from RNAcentral.